Molecule: non-coding RNA, 75 nt
Organism: Podarcis lilfordi (Lilford's wall lizard)
Lineage: Eukaryota; Metazoa; Chordata; Lepidosauria; Squamata; Lacertidae
Source: the annotation of a GenBank genome assembly
GGAGCAUCUAUAGUUCCAUGGUUGACCAUCUGCUUUGCACACAGAAGGUCCCAGGUUUAAUCCCUGGCAUCUCCA